CAGUAGCCGCGGUAAUACGAAGGGGGCUAGCGUUGUUCGGAUUUACUGGGCGUAAAGGGCGCGUAGGCGGACUGAUAAGUCAGGGGUGAAAUCCCAAGGCUCAACCUUGGAACUGCCUUUGAUACUGUUUGUCUUGAGUUCGAGAGAGGUAAGUGGAACCGCGAGUGUAGAGGUGAAAUUCGUAGAUAUUCGCAAGAACACCAGUGGCGAAGGCGGCGACCUGGUCUUUUACUGACGCUGAGGCGCGAAAGCGUGGGGAGCAAACAGGAUUAGAUACCCCCGUAGUCCCUGUCUCUUAUAC
This 301-nucleotide ribosomal RNA is filed under the name uncultured bacterium. RNAcentral's name for it is "partial 16S ribosomal RNA". It matches the Rfam family "Bacterial small subunit ribosomal RNA", at positions 509 to 807 of the family's 1533-position model. The record is from RNAcentral.